GGACCCCUGUGAUGUCCACCUCUGGGCUCUGACCUGUGACGACACGGUGCUCCCCCGGGACCUUAGACCCCCGGGGCUCUGAAGGGUCC
This 89-nucleotide small nucleolar RNA is filed under the name Balaenoptera musculus (blue whale). Lineage: Eukaryota; Metazoa; Chordata; Mammalia; Artiodactyla; Balaenopteridae. The record is from RNAcentral.